RNAcentral lists this ribosomal RNA (690 nucleotides) under uncultured bacterium. RNAcentral describes it as "bacterial SSU rRNA". It matches the Rfam family "Bacterial small subunit ribosomal RNA", at positions 143 to 827 of the family's 1533-position model. The record is from RNAcentral.
AUAACCGGGAGAAAUCCCGACUAAUACCGCGUAACGCCGCGGGGCUGCAUGGCCCGGCGGCCAAAGGAAGCGAUUCCGGCGGGGGAUGGGCAUGCGGCGCAUUAGCUAGUCGGCGGGGUAACGGCCCACCGAGGCGACGAUGCGUAGGGGUUCUGAGAGGAAGGUCCCCCACACUGGUACUGAGACACGGACCAGACUCCUACGGGAGGCAGCAGUGAGGAAUAUUGGCCAAUGGGCGGGAGCCUGAACCAGCCAAGUCGCGUGAGGGAAGACGGUCCUAUGGAUUGUAAACCUCUUUUGCCGGGGAGCAACGGGGUCCUUGCGAGGGCCUAAUGAGAGUACCCGGAGAAAAAGCAUCGGCUAACUCCGUGCCAGCAGCCGCGGUAAUACGGAGGAUGCGAGCGUUAUCCGGAUUUAUUGGGUUUAAAGGGUGCGUAGGCGGGCUGUUAAGUCAGCGGUCAAAUGUCGGGGCUCAACCCCGGCCUGCCGUUGGAACUGGCGGCCUCGAGUGGGCGAGAAGUAUGCGGAAUGCGUGGUGUAGCGGUGAAAUGCAUAGAUAUCACGCAGAACUCCGAUUGCGAAGGCAGCAUACCGGCGCCCUACUGACGCUGAGGCACGAAAGCGUGGGUAUCGAACAGGAUUAGAUACCCUGGUAGUCCACGCAGUAAACGAUGAAUGCUAGCUGUCCGG